This 118-nucleotide ribosomal RNA is filed under the name Clostridia bacterium. Lineage: Bacteria; Bacillati; Bacillota; Clostridia. The record is from RNAcentral.
UCUAGUGACGAUAACAUUUGGGGUAAUACCUGUUCCCAUUCCGAACACAGAAGUCAAGCCUAAAUGUGCCGAAAAUACUUGUGGGUUACCCUGCUGGGAAGAUAGGUUGUUGCUAGAU